RNAcentral lists this ribosomal RNA (429 nucleotides) under uncultured bacterium. RNAcentral's name for it is "bacterial SSU rRNA". It matches the Rfam family "Bacterial small subunit ribosomal RNA", at positions 355 to 775 of the family's 1533-position model. The record is from RNAcentral.
UGGGGAAUUGUUCACAAUGGGCGCAAGCCUGAUGACGCAACGCCGCGUGGAGGAUGAAGACCUUCGGGUCGUAAACUCCUUUCGACCGAGAUGAAGAGCCUCCGACCUAAUACGUCGGAGGCCUGACAGUAUCGAGGGAAGAAGCCCCGGCUAACUCUGUGCCAGCAGCCGCGGUAAUACAGGGGGGGCAAGCGUUGUUCGGAAUUACUGGGCGUAAAGGGUUCGUAGGUGGCUUACUAAGUCAGACGUGAAAUCCCUCAGCUUAACUGGGGAACUGCGUCUGAUACUGGAAAGCUUGAGUGCAGGAGAGGAACGCGGAAUUCCAGGUGUAGCGGUGAAAUGCGUAGAUAUCUGGAGGAACACCGGUGGCGAAGGCGGCGUUCUGGACUGCAACUGACACUGAUGAACGAAAGCCAGGGGAGCAAACGG